UCUCCGUUGGUGAACCAGCGGAGGGAUCAUUACCGAGUUAUCAACUCCCAAACCCCUGUGAACAUACCCAACGUUGCUCCGGCGGGACCGCCCCGGCGCCCUCGGCGUCCCGGAACCAGGCGCCCGCCGGAGGACCCAAACUCUUGUUUAAACCAUAGUGGCAUAUUCUGAGUCUCACAAGAAAAAUGAAUCAAAACUUUCAACAACGGAUCUCUUGGCUCUG
RNAcentral lists this unclassified non-coding RNA (223 nucleotides) under plant metagenome. Its description in RNAcentral is "partial contains small subunit ribosomal RNA, internal transcribed spacer 1, and 5.8S ribosomal RNA". The record is from RNAcentral.